This is a long non-coding RNA of Solea senegalensis (Senegalese sole), 184 nucleotides long. RefSeq lists it as uncharacterized. The record is from RefSeq and is a predicted model, not a curated record. Lineage: Eukaryota; Metazoa; Chordata; Actinopteri; Pleuronectiformes; Soleidae. The transcript is spliced from 3 exons.
GUCGCCGCCCGCCCGGUGACAUGGAUGUCCGACACCGUAGACUCCUGCAGCGGGGACUGAAGGUGGUCGUUGACAAGUAAAUUAAUGUUGUUGAUGUGAUGAAAGGAGAAAGGACACGAUGGCUGACAAUCUUAUGCAGUCACCCGAGAACUGGACUGAAUCUCAAGUGAGCACCUGGCUACGA